GAUGAACGCUGGCGGCGUGCCUAAUACAUGCAAGUCGAGCGAACGGACGAGAAGCUUGCUUCUCUGAUGUUAGCGGCGGACGGGUGAGUAACACGUGGAUAACCUACCUAUAAGACUGGGAUAACUUCGGGAAACCGGAGCUAAUACCGGAUGAUAUUUUGAACCGCAUGGUUCAAAAGUGAAAGACGGUCUUGCUGUCACUUAUAGAUGGAUCCGCGCUGCAUUAGCUAGUUGGUAAGGUAACGGCUUACCAAGGCAACGAUGCAUAGCCGACCUGAGUGGGUGAUCGGCCACACUGGAACUGAGACACGGUCCAGACUCCUACGGGAGGCAGCAGUAGGGAAUCUUCCGCAAUGGGCGAAAGCCUGACGGAGCAACGCCGCGUGAGUGAUGAAGGUCUUCGGAUCGUAAAACUCUGUUAUUAGGGAAGAACAUAUGUGUAAGUAACUGUGCACAUCUUGACGGUACCUAAUCAGAAAGCCACGGCUAACUACGUG
RNAcentral lists this ribosomal RNA (497 nucleotides) under uncultured bacterium. RNAcentral describes it as "partial 16S ribosomal RNA". It matches the Rfam family "Bacterial small subunit ribosomal RNA", at positions 28 to 507 of the family's 1533-position model. The record is from RNAcentral.